GACGAACGCUGGCGGCGUGCCUAAUACAUGCAAGUGGGACGCAAGGAAACACACUGUGCUUGCACACCGUGUUUUCUUGAGUCGCGAACGGGGGAGGAACGCGUAGGUAACCUGCCUAUUAGCGGGGGGUAAAUAUUGGAAACGAUAGCUAAUACCGCAUAAUAUUAAUUAUUGCAUGGUAAUUUAUUGAAAGAUGCAAGCGCAUCACUAGUAGAUGGACCUGCGUUGUAUUAGCUAGUUGGUAAGGUAAGAGCUUACCAAGGCGACGAUACAUAGCCGACCUGAGAGGGUGAUCGGCCACACUGGGACUGAGACACGGCCCAGACUCCUACGGGAGGCAGCAGUAGGGAAUCUUCGGCAAUGGGCGAAAGUCUGACCGAGCAACGCCGCGUGAGUGAAGAAGGUUUUCGGAUCGUAAAGCUCUGUUGUAAGUCAAGAACGUGUGUGAGAGUGGAAAGUUCACACAGUGACGGUAGCUUACCAGAAAGGGACGGCUAACUACGUG
RNAcentral lists this ribosomal RNA (505 nucleotides) under uncultured bacterium. RNAcentral describes it as "partial 16S ribosomal RNA". It matches the Rfam family "Bacterial small subunit ribosomal RNA", at positions 28 to 507 of the family's 1533-position model. The record is from RNAcentral.